CAGCCCUCCCGCGUGUAUGAUGAAGGCCUUCGGGUUGUAAAGUACUUUUGGCAGAGAAGAAAAGGUAUCUCCUAAUACGAGAUACUGCUGACGGUAUCUGCAGAAUAAGCACCGGCUAACUACGUGCCAGCAGCCGCGGUAAUACGUAGGGUGCAAGCGUUAAUCGGAAUUACUGGGCGUAAAGCGUGUGUAGGCGGUUCGGAAAGAAAGAUGUGAAAUCCCAGGGCUCAACCUUGGAACUGCAUUUUUAACUGCCGAGCUAGAGUAUGUCAGAGGGGGGUAGAAUUCCACGUGUAGCAGUGAAAUGCGUAGAUAUGUGGAGGAAUACCGAUGGCGAAGGCAGCCCCCUGGGAUAAUACUGACGCUCAGACACGAAAGCGUGGGGAGCAAACAGGAUUAGAUACCCUGGUAGUCCACGCCCUAAACGAUGUCAACUAGCUGUUGGGGCCGUUAGGCCUUAGUAGCGCAGCUAACGCGUGAAGUUGACCGCC
This 491-nucleotide ribosomal RNA is filed under the name beta proteobacterium I-07. RNAcentral's name for it is "bacterial SSU rRNA". It matches the Rfam family "Bacterial small subunit ribosomal RNA", at positions 389 to 873 of the family's 1533-position model. Lineage: Bacteria; Pseudomonadati; Pseudomonadota; Betaproteobacteria. The record is from RNAcentral.